AUUGAACGCUGGCGGCAUGCCUUACACAUGCAAGUCGAACGGCAGCACGGGUGCUUGCACCUGGUGGCGAGUGGCGAACGGGCGAGUAAUACAUCGGCACAUGUCCUGUAGUGGGGGAUUGCCCGGCGAAAGCCGGAUUAAUACCGCAUACGAUCUACGGAUGCCAGCGGGGGCCCUUCGGGUCUCGCGCUAUAGGGAUGGCCGAUGGCUGAUUAGCUAGUGGGUGGGGUAAAGGCCUACCAAGGCGACGAUCAGUAGCUGGUCUGAGAGGACGACCAGCCACACUGGGACUGAGACACGGCCCAGACUCCUACGGGAGGCAGCAGUGGGGAAUUUUGGACAAUGGGCGAAAGCCUGAUCCAGCAAUGCCGCGUGUGUGAAGAAGGCCUUCGGGUUGUAAAGCACUUUUGUCCGGAAAGAAAACCUUGGCCCUAAUACGGUCGGGGGAUGACGGUACCGGAAGAAUAAGCACCGGCUAACUACGUG
RNAcentral lists this ribosomal RNA (486 nucleotides) under uncultured bacterium. RNAcentral describes it as "partial 16S ribosomal RNA". It matches the Rfam family "Bacterial small subunit ribosomal RNA", at positions 30 to 507 of the family's 1533-position model. The record is from RNAcentral.